GGACGGGAGACGGGGCAGUGCUUUCCCGUAGUCUCGAGUACCCUUCAGGGCUGUGGGCAUAGUCUGAGAAAUUCAACACAGCAGUCAGCGCAGGAGGCUGCAGCUAUCCUGGGAGGAAGAGGUUUGGAGAACCCAGAGAAGAAAUUGAUGGAAUGAGCCUGAGAUAAUAUUUCAGAACUGGGAGUCUUGAAACAGACCUUCAUUCCUAUCUACCAAAGAAAAUCAAAUGUCAGUUGGCCAAAAGUCCAGCAAAGAAAAAAACAGCAGCUACAGCAAAACUAUGCAAGUUAUCUUUGCACAGGGAGGAGACUAGAAUGCAGCUUUUGUACAGAUCAAAGAAGGCAGAGGAACUCAAAGGGAUGAUGCGAAAGAAAAUGCUUUCAUGCCCCUGGCUUCAGUACGCUGAAAGAGAUAAAGCAACUCCCUGGAGAGGGCUCCACUUCCAGGACAGUUGUGUAUGGUCUUUCUCAAGAUAUUUGAAGAAUUUAUGUUCUUAGGUUUUAGUGAAAAAUAUCAUCUCAUUCCAUUAAAUGGCUAAGUUGGAGACUGUACAGGGAUCAGAGAGUGAAGCAGCUCAAUUACAAGCAGUAUGUCAGAAUGCUAAAUAAAAGUAGUUAAAUAGAAAAAAAAAAAUCUUUCCUACAGUUUUGAGUUUGGGGGCUUUUUUUGCUGCACUGAUUUGUGCAGUUCACUAAUACUUUUUGGCUUUAGCAGGUUUUUAUACUACUCCUGCAGAUCAGAACCUUCAGAGUGUUGUUUGUACCCAGUCUCCUCUGGUUAGACACUUAUUCUUCAGGAAAACUACUUCUAUUCCUCCACACCAAUGUGUUUUUUUCAAUUCCCUAUGCAGAUGGAUUCUUCCAACAAAACUAACUCAUCCUGGAUCAGUGAGAACUGUCCAGUGCCAUUGUCACAUGACUGUCAUUCCUACUGCCUGUAUUGAAAACUGCAUUUGCAAAUGUAUUUUGUAUGGCUUUGCUUUUUGGUUUACUUAUUAAACUGCAGCUGUAGUAAGUUCACACCAUUGCUAUGCAGCAAACUGUCUCUUUGUCUAAAUC
Passer domesticus (house sparrow) is the source of this 1058-nucleotide long non-coding RNA. RefSeq lists it as uncharacterized. NCBI's taxonomy places the organism in Eukaryota, Metazoa, Chordata, Aves, Passeriformes, Passeridae. The record is from RefSeq and is a predicted model, not a curated record. The transcript is spliced from 3 exons.